This 195-nucleotide unclassified non-coding RNA is filed under the name plant metagenome. RNAcentral's name for it is "partial contains small subunit ribosomal RNA, internal transcribed spacer 1, and 5.8S ribosomal RNA". The record is from RNAcentral.
UCUCCGUUGGUGAACCAGCGGAGGGAUCAUUACCGAGUUUACAACUCCCAAACCCCUGUGAACAUACCAUUUGUUGCCUCGGCGGUGCCUGCUUCGGCAGCCCGCCAGAGGACCCAAACCCUUGAUUUUAUACAGUAUCUUCUGAGUAAAUGGUUAAAUAAAUCUAAACUUUCAACAACGGAUCUCUUGGUUCUG